AUUGAACGCUGGCGGCAGGCCUAACACAUGCAAGUCGAACGAGUGGCGGACGGGUGAGUAAUUUCUGGGCAACUGCCCGAUGGAGGGGGAUAACUACUGGAAACGGUAGCUAAUACCGCAUACCAUCGGAUGUGCCCAGAUGGGAUUAGCUAGUCGGGGGGGUAAUGGCUCACCUAGGCGACGAGCCCUAGCUGGUCUGAGAGGAUGACCAGCCACACUGGAACUGAGACACGGUCCGGACUCCUACGGGAGGCAGCAGUGGGGAAUAUUGCACAAUGGGCGAAAGCCUGAUGCAGCCAUGCCGCGUGUGUGAAGAAGGCCUUCGGGUUGUAAAGUCCUUUCAGCGGGGAGGCGUUACCCGCAGAGGAAGCACCGGCUAACUCCGUGCCAGCAGCCGCGGUAAUUC
This 406-nucleotide ribosomal RNA is filed under the name uncultured bacterium. RNAcentral describes it as "partial 16S ribosomal RNA". It matches the Rfam family "Bacterial small subunit ribosomal RNA", at positions 30 to 526 of the family's 1533-position model. The record is from RNAcentral.